This 502-nucleotide ribosomal RNA is filed under the name uncultured bacterium. RNAcentral's name for it is "bacterial SSU rRNA". It matches the Rfam family "Bacterial small subunit ribosomal RNA", at positions 62 to 543 of the family's 1533-position model. The record is from RNAcentral.
UCGUACGCGAAAGGGGCUUCGGCCCUGAGUAGAGUGGCAAACGGGUGAGUAACACGUGGGUGACCUGCCUUCGAGUGGGGGAUAACGUCCCGAAAGGGACGCUAAUACCGCAUGACAUCCUGCUCUUGGACGAGCGGAGAUCAAAGCCGGGGAUCGCAAGACCUGGCGCUUGAAGAGGGGCCCGCGCCUGAUUAGCUAGUUGGUGGGGUAAUGGCUCACCAAGGCAACGAUCAGUAUCCGGCCUGAGAGGGCGGACGGACACACUGGGACUGAGACACGGCCCAGACUCCUACGGGAGGCAGCAGUGGGGAAUUGUUCGCAAUGGGCGCAAGCCUGACGACGCAACGCCGCGUGGAGGAUGAAGAUCUUCGGGUCGUAAACUCCUGUCGAGCGGGACGAACACCUGCCGGGCUAACAUCCAGGCAGGCUGACGGUACCGCUAAAGGAAGCCCCGGCUAACUCCGUGCCAGCAGCCGCGGUAAUACGGGGGGGGCAAGCGUUG